Molecule: long non-coding RNA, 861 nt
Organism: Enhydra lutris kenyoni (northern sea otter)
Lineage: Eukaryota; Metazoa; Chordata; Mammalia; Carnivora; Mustelidae
Exons: 4
Source: RefSeq, a predicted model, not a curated record
UGGCUUCUGUGACACCCCCUAUGCCUUCUCUGGACUUAGGUUUUGGGAGAAGAUGGUCAUCUACAUGCCAGGAGAGGGGCCUCGGAAGGAACCAACCCUGACGACACCUUGAUCUCAGACGUCCAUCCUCCAGAACUUUCAGUGCUGUGACUGUACGGAGCUGGGAGUCCAUCUGGACCCCCGCUUCUCCAUCCAGAUACUGAAGCCCCUCCAGCCUGUUGUGUUCCUUUCUCAUCUGGCUUUCCAGGGAUCCCAUGCGAGUCCCGCUCCUGGUCCUCUGCUCUGAACAUUUGUCUGUCGUAGCACGAGGCUCAAUGGCAUCCCUUAUCUGAUCUUCAGAUUUGAGACCUAAUUUUCUGGAAAGAUACCACUGAACACUGAUCUUGAACCAGGAGAAACAGACCUUAUACUGCUCUCCAAACCACCAUAUUGCCGCAAAACUACGUGGAGUACAACCUUGGGUUUCUGUUUCAUAACUAAAAAAAUUAAAAGCCUUGUUCUGAAUGGAAAUCCAUUCUAGUUGGAGGUUUUAAACUGAGGGUCCAUGAAAGCCCCCAGAAACAGAUGACACCACAAAGGAGACUGCUUUCACAAGAUUCAGAACAGGUAAAUGACAUCCCCAUGUGUUGGGUGUGCAUCCUGUCCAGAGUUUCACAGGUAGACCUUGUUUUACUGUACUCUCAAAUAAUGCAACUUUUUACAGAUUGAAGGUUAGUGACAACCUUUCAUUGAGCAAGGCUAUGGGUACCAUUUUUCUAACACAUUUGCUUACUUUGUGUCUCUGCAUCCUAUUUUGGUCAUUCUCACGAUAGUUCAAACUUUUUCAUUGCUAUUAUAUUUGUUAUGAUGAUAUGUGGUCAG